RNAcentral lists this transfer RNA (78 nucleotides) under Marine Group III euryarchaeote CG-Bathy1. RNAcentral's name for it is "tRNA-Asp". It matches the Rfam family "tRNA". From Rfam's summary of the family: Transfer RNA (tRNA) molecules are approximately 80 nucleotides in length. Their secondary structure includes four short double-helical elements and three loops (D, anti-codon, and T loops). The record is from RNAcentral. Lineage: Archaea; Methanobacteriati; Thermoplasmatota; Thermoplasmata; Candidatus Thermoprofundales.
GCUCGAGUGGUGUAGCCUGGCCUAUCAUGAAGCCCUGUCGAGGCUUCGACCCGGGUUCAAAUCCCGGCUCGGGCGCCA